Molecule: long non-coding RNA, 530 nt
Organism: Xiphophorus couchianus (Monterrey platyfish)
Lineage: Eukaryota; Metazoa; Chordata; Actinopteri; Cyprinodontiformes; Poeciliidae
Exons: 2
Source: RefSeq, a predicted model, not a curated record
GGAGUUUUUGUGCAUGCACUCGUUUUUCUCCACCACUAGAUGGCGCCUUUACCAUUCCGUCGGAGGGUGUGGAUGACGUCAUCCCACACCUGAUGCGAGUUUUGGCUCAUCAGCGAGAUGUUCAAGAGGAGCUGACUGCCAGUCCUUCGGCGCCUGAGUGUUGUUAGCCAGUCACGGUACCUCUGAGCCCCUAGAAGCUUGCUUCUGGUUUACCUUGUUGAUCUGCUCCUAGUGAAAGUUUUCUUUGUUGCUUCUCCUGCCUCCAGGCUCCUCUACAUCCGCUGAUCCUCAGCCUACCUGUCCGCCCUCCGACGUACUCCCUUUGCCUCCUGGAUCCCCGCUGUCAGACAAGACGACCACCUGGAACCUCUGAGAACUAAAACCCCGGACGCUGCAGUUACCCUCCCACUUCUCUAACCUGCCGAUCACAAUGAACUGUUUGAUUCCCCGAACCAGCCUCUCUCCCUGGACCCGACCCGAGCCAACUAUUCCUGCCAGCAGUGUUUUCAAUAAAUUUAUCUUUUAUUUCA